AAUCCAUAGGUUAAUGAGGCGAACCGGGGGAACUGAAACAUCUAAGUACCCCGAGGAAAAGAAAUCAACCGAGAUUCCCCCAGUAGCGGCGAGCGAACGGGGAGGAGCCCAGAGCCUGAAUCAGCAUGUGUGUUAGUGGAAGCGUCUGGAAAGGCGCGCGAUACAGGGUGACAGCCCCGUACACAAAAGCGCAUGUGCUGUGAGCUCGAUGAGUAGGGCGGGACACGUGGUAUCCUGUCUGAAUAUGGGGGGACCAUCCUCCAAGGCUAAAUACUCCUGACUGACCGAUAGUGAACCAGUACCGUGAGGGAAAGGCGAAAAGAACCCCGGCGAGGGGAGUGAAAAAGAACCUGAAACCGUGUACGUACAAGCAGUGGGAGCACAGGUUUACCUGUGUGACUGCGUACCUUUUGUAUAAUGGGUCAGCGACUUAUAUUCUGUAGCAAGGUUAACCGAAUAGGGGAGCCGGAGGGAAACCGAGUCUUAAUUGGGCGUUAAGUUGCAGGGUAUAGACCCGAAACCCGGUGAUCUAGCCAUGGGCAGGUUGAAGGUUGGGUAACACUAACUGGAGGACCGAACCGACUAAUGUUGAAAAAUUAGCGGAUGACCUGUGGCUGGGGGUGAAAGGCCAAUCAAACCGGGAGAUAGCUGGUUCUCCCCGAAAGCUAUUUAGGUAGCGCCUCGUGAAUUCAUCUCCGGGGGUAGAGCACUGUUUCGGCUAGGGGGCCAUCCCGGCUUACCAACCCGAUGCAAACUGCGAAUACCGGAGAAUGUUAUCACGGGAGACACACGGCGGGUGCUAACGUCCGUCGUGAAGAGGGAAACAACCCAGACCGCCAGCUAAGGUCCCAAAGUCAUGGUUAAGUGGGAAACGAUGUGGGAAGGCCCAGACAGCCAGGAUGUUGGCUUAGAAGCAGCCAUCAUUUAAAGAAAGCGUAAUAGCUCACUGGUCGAGUCGGCCUGCGCGGAA
This 970-nucleotide ribosomal RNA is filed under the name Salmonella enterica subsp. enterica serovar Enteritidis. RNAcentral describes it as "partial 23S ribosomal RNA". It matches the Rfam family "Bacterial large subunit ribosomal RNA", at positions 161 to 1168 of the family's 2925-position model. Lineage: Bacteria; Pseudomonadati; Pseudomonadota; Gammaproteobacteria; Enterobacterales; Enterobacteriaceae. The record is from RNAcentral.